GGCCCGGUGGCGGAUGGUCGCCACCCGCUUAUAGUUGUCACUGAUUGGGAUGAUUAUCGCGGCGGAGCUCGUUCGAAUCGAGCCCGGGCCG
This is a non-coding RNA of Mycena belliarum, 91 nucleotides long. Lineage: Eukaryota; Fungi; Basidiomycota; Agaricomycetes; Agaricales; Mycenaceae. The record is from the annotation of a GenBank genome assembly.